CUCUCACUUCCAAGGGAUCCCUUCCACAGCUCCCACAAUCAUUUCCCUCCUCUUCUGCUUCUUCUGCAUCCCACAAAAACUGAGUUGAGGUGCUCUGCUCUGCUGAUUUUCGUUUUGUUUCCCUUGUGACAAAACCUUAUACUUCUUCUGAAACAAGUUCCGGAGAAGGGCUCUUCCCUGAUAAAAGAAGAGACACAAAACAAAACUCAAACAAGUUCUUCUCGUGGCCAUGUUUUCAUUUGUGCGGUUAGGUCUCCUCGAGGAACAUACAUACCAAGAUUAGUUCUCCUGGAGGAACAUAUAUACCAAGAUUGUUUUGUUUACCUG
Long non-coding RNA from Triticum dicoccoides, 327 nucleotides. RefSeq lists it as uncharacterized. NCBI's taxonomy places the organism in Eukaryota, Viridiplantae, Streptophyta, Magnoliopsida, Poales, Poaceae. The record is from RefSeq and is a predicted model, not a curated record. The transcript is spliced from 3 exons.